GACGAACGCUGGCGGCGUGCUUAACACAUGCAAGUCGAACGGAAAGGCCCUGCUUUUGUGGGGUGCUCGAGUGGCGAACGGGUGAGUAACACGUGAGUAACCUGCCCUUGACUUUGGGAUAACUUCAGGAAACUGGGGCUAAUACCGGAUAGGAGCUCCUGCUGCAUGGUGGGGGUUGGAAAGUUUCGGCGGUUGGGUAUGGACUCGCGGCUUAUCAGCUUGUUGGUGGGGUAGUGGCUUACCAAGGCUUUGACGGGUAGCCGGCCUGAGAGGGUGACCGGCGACAUUGGGACUGAGAUACGGCCCAGACUCCUACGGGAGGCAGCAGUGGGGAAUAUUGCACAAUGGGCGGAAGCCUGAUGCAGCAACGCCGCGUGCGGGAUGACGGCCUUCGGGUUGUAAACCGCUUUCGCCUGUGACGAAGCGUGAGUGACGGUAAUGGGUAAAGAAGCACCGGCUAACUACGUG
RNAcentral lists this ribosomal RNA (468 nucleotides) under uncultured bacterium. RNAcentral's name for it is "partial 16S ribosomal RNA". It matches the Rfam family "Bacterial small subunit ribosomal RNA", at positions 28 to 507 of the family's 1533-position model. The record is from RNAcentral.